Non-coding RNA from Trichobilharzia regenti, 48 nucleotides. The record is from Rfam. NCBI's taxonomy places the organism in Eukaryota, Metazoa, Platyhelminthes, Trematoda, Strigeidida, Schistosomatidae.
AUCCAACUGACGAGCCUCAAAUAGGACGAAAUGCGCGUUGUCCUGGAU